RNAcentral lists this ribosomal RNA (369 nucleotides) under Thraustochytrium sp. Its description in RNAcentral is "partial small subunit ribosomal RNA". It matches the Rfam family "Eukaryotic small subunit ribosomal RNA", at positions 583 to 975 of the family's 1831-position model. Lineage: Eukaryota; Bigyra; Thraustochytrida; Thraustochytriidae. The record is from RNAcentral.
UUCCAGCUCCAAUAGCAUAUAUUAACGUUGUUGCAGUUGAAAAGCUCGUAGUUGAACUUUUGGUAGGAGCGACCUGGCCUUGGGCGCAUGCCCUUGUUUUGCCGUGUGUCGUAUCUGGCCAUCCUUUUCUUCUUCGGAAGGAAUCAUUUACUGUGAGUAAACUGGAGUGCUCAAAUCAAGACGUUUGUUUGGUACAUUAAAGCAUGGAAUAAUAAGAUAGGACCUGGUUACUAUUUUGUUGGUUUGCUUAGCUAGGUAAUGAUUAACAGGGAAAGUUGGGGGUAUUCGUAUUUAAUUGUCAGAGGUGAAAUUCUUGGAUUUAUGAAAGACGAACGACUGCGAAAGCAUUUACCAAGGAUGUUUUCAUCG